UCCGGUGAAUAUAUCCGAAAGGUCACACCUGUUUCCAUUCCGAAUACAGUAGUUAAGCUUUCGGAGCCGAUGAUAGUAAAAAAACUGCGAAAGUAGGUAUCGCCGGUC
RNAcentral lists this ribosomal RNA (108 nucleotides) under Planctomycetaceae bacterium. The record is from RNAcentral. Lineage: Bacteria; Pseudomonadati; Planctomycetota; Planctomycetia; Planctomycetales; Planctomycetaceae.